UAUGUGAUCGUCUCUCGCAUAUCAAUAAGCGGAGGAAAAGAAACUAACAAGGAUUCCCUUAGUAACGGCGAGUGAAGCGGGAAGAGCUCAAAUUUGAAAUCUUCAAGGUUUUACCUUGACGAAUUGUAGUUUAAAGAAGUGUUUUCUGUUGAAGUUUUGGUAAAAGUUCUUUGGAAUAGGACAUCAUAGAGGGUGAGAAUCCCGUAUUUGACCAUUAUUUUCAGCUGUGUGAUACACUUUCAAAGAGUCGGAUUGUUUGGGAAUGCAGUCCAAAAUGGGUGGUAAAUUUCAUCUAAAGCUAAAUAUUGGCGAGAGACCGAUAGCGAACAAGUACCGUGAGGGAAGGAUGAAAAGAACUUUGAAAAGAGAGUUAAACAGUACGUGAAAUUGUCAAAAGGGAAGCGUUUGACACCAGUGUUGUUUUCUCGAAAAUCAAUUAAAAAGAGUUAGAUUUUGUUGUGUAUUGACCUUAACAGCUUGCAUUUCAAUUUUCUUGCUUUUUUUAAUGCACUUUUCGUUUAACAAGUCAACAUCAGUUUCUUUUGUUGUAAAAAGGUCAUUGGAAGGUGGCUUUCUUUUCGGAGAAAGUGUUUAUAGCCUUUGACUCCUGCAAUCGGAGAGACUGAGGUCUGCAGCGUAGAUCCUUCGGGGUUAGAUACAUUUGUGCUAAGUUAUAGCUUUUUAUAGACAACUUGUUGACUAUGAUUAGUCUUGUAGCUUACUCGCUUAUGCUAUUUUACCUACGCUUAGGAUGUUGAAGAUGUAGCACAUCAU
RNAcentral lists this ribosomal RNA (774 nucleotides) under uncultured Neocallimastigales. RNAcentral's name for it is "partial large subunit ribosomal RNA". It matches the Rfam family "Eukaryotic large subunit ribosomal RNA", at positions 24 to 620 of the family's 3401-position model. The record is from RNAcentral. Lineage: Eukaryota; Fungi; Neocallimastigomycota; Neocallimastigomycetes; Neocallimastigales.